RNAcentral lists this ribosomal RNA (466 nucleotides) under uncultured bacterium. Its description in RNAcentral is "partial 16S ribosomal RNA". It matches the Rfam family "Bacterial small subunit ribosomal RNA", at positions 28 to 507 of the family's 1533-position model. The record is from RNAcentral.
GAUGAACGCUGGCGGCGUGCUUAACACAUGCAAGUCGAACGAUGAAGCCCAGCUUGCUGGGUGGGUUAGUGGCGAACGGGUGAGUAACACGUGAGUAACCUGCCCUUAACUCUGGGAUAAGCCUGGGAAACUGGGUCUAAUACCGGAUAGGAGCGUCCACCGCAUGGUGGGUGUUGGAAAGAUUUAUCGGUUUUGGAUGGACUCGCGGCCUAUCAGCUUGUUGGUGAGGUAAUGGCUCACCAAGGCGACGACGGGUAGCCGGCCUGAGAGGGUGACCGGCCACCCUGGGACUGCGAGACGGCCCAGACUCCUACGGGAGGCAGCAGUGGGGAAUAUUGCACAAUGGGCGCAAGCCUGAUGAAGAGACGCCGCGUGAGGGAUGACGGCCUUCGGGUUGUAAACCUCUUUCAGUAGGGAAGAAGCGAAAGUGACGGUACCUGCAGAAGAAGCACCGGCUAACUACGUG